CAAUAUUAGUUGUUAAAAUGAAAGAUUUUGUGACUCCUACUGAUUCUGUCUAGAAAUAAUUAUCAUAUACGAUACAUUUAUUAUACAGUUAUACAUUAUGUGUUUAAUUUAUAAAGUGGCAUAAUUAUUAUUUAUUUAUAUUACAAUUUUAUUUUGAUAGCCAUUUAUUUUUAUUCGUAAUAAUUUUUUGUUGCUAGGCUUUGGAGGAACUUCGUUAGAUGGCGCACCCUCUUAUUGUUAGUUAAGAAAAAUCCCGGUUCUCAUGGGUACAAUAUUCUGCCUCCCCCAUCAACAAACAAUGGGUCAAAUUAAGACCCCUGUCCAGUGUGUGGAAAACCCUAAAGGAUCAGGUGGAGUGAUAAUAUACGACCGGGAGAAGUUAGCCAUGAACAAACAAUA
Sinocyclocheilus anshuiensis is the source of this 399-nucleotide long non-coding RNA. RefSeq lists it as uncharacterized. Lineage: Eukaryota; Metazoa; Chordata; Actinopteri; Cypriniformes; Cyprinidae. The transcript has 3 exons. The record is from RefSeq and is a predicted model, not a curated record.